This 939-nucleotide ribosomal RNA is filed under the name uncultured bacterium. RNAcentral's name for it is "bacterial SSU rRNA". It matches the Rfam family "Bacterial small subunit ribosomal RNA", at positions 45 to 980 of the family's 1533-position model. The record is from RNAcentral.
GGCUUACACAUGCGAGUCGAGGGGCAUCACGAAUUAGCAAUAGUUUGGUGGCGACCGGCGCACGGGUGCGUAACACGUAUACAACCUACCUUCAAUUGGGGAAUAACCUGGAGAAAUUUGGACUAAUACCCCAUAGUAAACGGAAGAGGCAUCUUUUUUGUUUUAAAGAUUUAUUGAUUGGAGAUGGGUAUGCGUAGGAUUAGCUAGUUGGUAAGGUAACGGCUUACCAAGGCGACGAUCCUUAGGGGUUCUGAGAGGAAGGUCCCCCACACUGGUACUGAGACACGGACCAGACUCCUACGGGAGGCAGCAGUGAGGAAUAUUGGUCAAUGGUCGAGAGACUGAACCAGCCAAGUCGCGUGAAGGAAGACGGCUCUAUGAGUUGUAAACUUCUUUUGUACAGGAGUAAAGUGAGACACGCGUGUUUUAUUGCAAGUACUGUACGAAUAAGCAUCGGCUAACUCCGUGCCAGCAGCCGCGGUAAUACGGAGGAUGCAAGCGUUAUCCGGAUUUAUUGGGUUUAAAGGGUGCGUAGGCGGUAUUACAAGUCAGGGGUGAAAUUUUGGUGCUUAACAUUAAAAUUGCCUUUGAAACUGUGGUACUUGAGUGUAAAAGAGGUAGGCGGAAUGUGUUGUGUAGCGGUGAAAUGCAUAGAUAUAACACAGAACCCCGAUUGCGAAGGCAGCUUACUAUCAUACAACUGACGCUGAUGCACGAAAGCGUGGGGAUCAAACAGGAUUAGAUACCCUGGUAGUCCACGCAGUAAACGAUGAUUACUAGCUGUUAGCGAUAUAUUGUUAGUGGCUAAGCGAAAGCGAUAAGUAAUCCACCUGGGGAGUACGUUCGCAAGAAUGAAACUCAAAGGAAUUGACGGGGGCCCGCACAAGCGGAGGAACAUGUGGUUUAAUUCGAUGAUACGCGAGGAACCCUUACCCGGGC